UACGAAGGGGGCUAGCGUUGCUCGGAAUCACUGGGCGUAAAGGGUGCGUAGGCGGGUCUUUAAGUCAGGGGUGAAAUCCUGGAGCUCAACUCCAGAACUGCCUUUGAUACUGAAGAUCUUGAGUUCGGGAGAGGUGAGUGGAACUGCGAGUGUAGAGGUGAAAUUCGUAGAUAUUCGCAAGAACACCAGUGGCGAAGGCGGCGAUCUGGGUCGAUACUGACGCUGAGGUGCGAAAGCGUGGGGAGCAAACAGG
Molecule: ribosomal RNA, 253 nt
Filed under: uncultured bacterium
Lineage: Bacteria
Description: partial 16S ribosomal RNA
Rfam family: Bacterial small subunit ribosomal RNA
Source: RNAcentral